ACUCCUGCGGGAGGCAGCAGUGGGGAAUAUUGGACAAUGGGCGCAAGCCUGAUCCAGCCAUGCCGCGUGAGUGAUGAAGGCCCUAGGGUUGUAAAGCUCUUUUGUGCGGGAAGAUAAUGACGGUACCGCAAGAAUAAGCCCCGGCUAACUUCGUGCCAGCAGCCGCGGUAAUACGAAGGGGGCUAGCGUUGCUCGGAAUCACUGGGCGUAAAGGGUGCGUAGGCGGGUCUUUAAGUCAGGGGUGAAAUCCUGGAGCUCAACUCCAGAACUGCCUUUGAUACUGAAGAUCUUGAGUUCGGGAGAGGUGAGUGGAACUGCGAGUGUAGAGGUGAAAUUCGUAGAUAUUCGCAAGAACACCAGUGGCGAAGGCGGCUCACUGGCCCGAUACUGACGCUGAGGCACGAAAGCGUGGGGAGCAAACAGGAUUAGAUACCCGGGUAGUCCCAUG
RNAcentral lists this ribosomal RNA (448 nucleotides) under uncultured organism. Its description in RNAcentral is "partial 16S ribosomal RNA". It matches the Rfam family "Bacterial small subunit ribosomal RNA", at positions 335 to 799 of the family's 1533-position model. The record is from RNAcentral.